AAUUUUUAAAGCGCCUGAGCUAGUUUUAGCUGACGAGGACGGGGUUAAUCGAAAAUCGGCGGAUUCCCUGCGGUAAUGUCUAUCGUUAUUUAUCUUACAAAGCUUUAAAGCAAUUUAAAGUACAAAGGGAUAAA
This 134-nucleotide non-coding RNA is filed under the name chicken gut metagenome. RNAcentral describes it as "glmS glucosamine-6-phosphate activated ribozyme". It matches the Rfam family "glmS glucosamine-6-phosphate activated ribozyme aptamer". Rfam says of the family: This entry contains a glucosamine-6-phosphate activated ribozyme that is found in the mRNA for GlmS. GlmS is an enzyme that uses fructose-6-phosphate and glutamine to generate glucosamine-6-phosphate. The ribozyme catalyses self cleavage of the glmS mRNA that is thought to regulate GlmS activity. The record is from RNAcentral.